This 429-nucleotide ribosomal RNA is filed under the name Gemmatimonadota bacterium. Its description in RNAcentral is "Gemmatimonadetes bacterium partial 16S ribosomal RNA". It matches the Rfam family "Bacterial small subunit ribosomal RNA", at positions 355 to 776 of the family's 1533-position model. The record is from RNAcentral. Lineage: Bacteria; Pseudomonadati; Gemmatimonadota.
UAGGGAAUCUUCGGCAAUGGACGAAAGUCUGACCGAGCAACGCCGCGUGAGUGAAGAAGGUUUUCGGAUCGUAAAACUCUGUUGUUAGAGAAGAACAAGGACGUUAGUAACUGAACGUCCCCUGACGGUAUCUAACCAGAAAGCCACGGCUAACUACGUGCCAGCAGCCGCGGUAAUACGUAGGUGGCAAGCGUUGUCCGGAUUUAUUGGGCGUAAAGCGAGCGCAGGCGGUUUCUUAAGUCUGAUGUGAAAGCCCCCGGCUCGACCGGGGAGGGUCAUUGGAAACUGGGAGACUUGAGUGCAGAAGAGGAGAGUGGAAUUCCAUGUGUAGCGGUGAAAUGCGUAGAUAUAUGGAGGAACACCAGUGGCGAAGGCGGCUCUCUGGUCUGUAACUGACGCUGAGGCUCGAAAGCGUGGGGAGCAAACAGG